Non-coding RNA from Hordeum vulgare subsp. vulgare (domesticated barley), 125 nucleotides. The record is from Rfam. Lineage: Eukaryota; Viridiplantae; Streptophyta; Magnoliopsida; Poales; Poaceae.
AUAGUACUCCCUCCGUCCAGAAUUACUUGUCGCAAGAAUGGAUGUAUCUAGAUGUAUUUUGGUUCUAGAUACAUUCAUUUCUAUCCAUUCUUGCCACAAGUAAUUCAGGACGAAGGGAGUAGUAG